Molecule: long non-coding RNA, 648 nt
Filed under: Pan troglodytes (chimpanzee)
Lineage: Eukaryota; Metazoa; Chordata; Mammalia; Primates; Hominidae
Description: long non-coding RNA NONPTRT014234
Source: RNAcentral
CUUUCUUUCUUUAUAUUAGAAAAGCUACCACGGAUGGAAAAGCCUCACUGACGAGUUCUGUGAUCAUUGGAGGCUAAACCAAAGCAGAAGAACCAGUGAGUAGACAUGCAUAAAACCACAACACAGCUUUAGAAAACAAGGCACACCUGUAUUAGCCUUACACCUAAAUUGAAUGCAGCCUGCCAUAAGGGAGGAAUUACAGUCCUUCUAGAGGCCCAAGGUACCUGCAGCUCCCCCUGACCAGUCCUGUCAAAGCCUUGUUUUUGUCAAAAUGCCAACUUGGACUCUGUCUGAGAGUUCUGCUGCCCACCAAGAGGGAUGGACAAAGUUUGUUUAUCCAGAAACUUGGCAGGAGGUGCAGGUGAAGCAGCCUCUGAACAAAAGCAUAUUCUGAGAUCCUGGUGGCUGUUGUCAGAGGAACACAGCAGAGAGGCAAACAGUUUGGGGUGAGGCAGCUGAUAAACAAACAGGGAAGCACAUUCAGGCCAGAGCAAGGGGAAGCCCCUGAGUCUCCUCUAUGUGCUCUCUGGCAAGAUCUACUUUCUGAAGCAUUGACUGGAAAUAGAAGUCUCGCCGGGCUGGCUGGAGCCAGAGGCCCCCACACCUUAUCCCCUUUGGAAUCUGCCAGAGGGCAGGUCUGAGUAUGGA